This 433-nucleotide ribosomal RNA is filed under the name uncultured bacterium. RNAcentral's name for it is "partial 16S ribosomal RNA". It matches the Rfam family "Bacterial small subunit ribosomal RNA", at positions 29 to 507 of the family's 1533-position model. The record is from RNAcentral.
AACGAACGCUGGCGGCAGGCUUAACACAUGCAAGUCGAGCGAGACCUCCGGGUCUAUCGGCGGACGGGUGAGUAACGCGUGGGAACGUGCCCUUCUCUACGGAAUAGCUCCGGGAAACUGGGAGUAAUACCGUAUACGCCCUUUGGGGGAAAGAUUUAUCGGAGAAGGAUCGGCCCGCGUUGGAUUCGGUAGUUGGUGGGGUAAUGGCCCACCAAGCCGACGAUCCAUAGCUGGUUUGAGAGGAUGAUCAGCCACACUGGGACUGAGACACGGCCCAGACUCCUACGGGAGGCAGGAGUGGGGAAUCUUGGACAAUGGGGGCAACCCUGAUCUAGCCAUGCCGCGUGAGUGAUGAAGGCCUUAGGGUUGUAAAGCUCUUUCAGCUGGGAAGAUAAUGACGGUACCAGCAGAAGAAGCCCCGGCUAACUCCGUG